This 23-nucleotide non-coding RNA is filed under the name Cricetulus griseus (Chinese hamster). Lineage: Eukaryota; Metazoa; Chordata; Mammalia; Rodentia; Cricetidae. The record is from RNAcentral.
CCCUGGAAGAAGAGGACUGCUUA